AACGAACGCUGGCGGCAUGCCUAACACAUGCAAGUCGAACGAGACCUUCGAGUCUAGUGGCGCACGGGUGCGUAACACGUGGGAAUCUACCCUUGGGUUCGGAAUAACAGUUAGAAAUGACUGCUAAUACCGGAUGAUGACGUAAGUCCAAAGAUUUAUCGCCCAAGGAUGAGCCCGCGUAAGAUUAGCUUGUUGGUGGGGUAAUGGCCUACCAAGGCGACGAUCUUUAGCUGGUCUGAGAGGAUGAUCAGCCACACUGGGACUGAGACACGGCUCAGACUCCUACGGGAGGCAGCAGUGGGGAAUAUUGGACAAUGGGCGAAAGCCUGAUCCAGCAAUGCCGCGUGAGUGAUGAAGGCCUUAGGGUUGUAAAGCUCUUUUACCAGGGAUGAUAAUGACAGUACCUGGAGAAUAAGCUCCGGCUAACUCCGUGCCAGCAGCCGCAGUAA
Molecule: ribosomal RNA, 449 nt
Filed under: uncultured bacterium
Lineage: Bacteria
Description: partial 16S ribosomal RNA
Rfam family: Bacterial small subunit ribosomal RNA
Source: RNAcentral